This 124-nucleotide microRNA precursor is filed under the name Hordeum vulgare. RNAcentral's name for it is "microRNA MIR1122". It matches the Rfam family "MIR1120/MIR1122 microRNA precursor family". Lineage: Eukaryota; Viridiplantae; Streptophyta; Magnoliopsida; Poales; Poaceae. The record is from RNAcentral.
CUACUACUCCCUCCGUCCGGAAAUACUUGUCCUAGAAAUGGAUGUAUCUAGACUUAUUUUAGUUAUAGAUACAUCCACUUUGUUCAUUUCUAGGACAAGUAUUUACGGACGGAGGGAGUACUAC